UACGGAGGGGGCUAGCGUUAUUCGGAAUUACUGGGCGUAAAGCGCGCGUAGGCGGUUCUUUAAGUUGAGGGUGAAAUCCCGGGGCCUAACCCCGGAACUGCCUUCAAAACUGGAGGGCUUUGAGUUCGAGAGAGGUGAGUGGAAUUUCUAGUGUAGAGGUGGAAUUCGUAGAUAUUAGAAGGAACACCGGUGGCGAAGGCGGCUCACUGGCUCGAUACUGACGCUGAGGCGCGACAGCGUGGGGAGCAAACAGG
RNAcentral lists this ribosomal RNA (254 nucleotides) under uncultured bacterium. RNAcentral's name for it is "partial 16S ribosomal RNA". It matches the Rfam family "Bacterial small subunit ribosomal RNA", at positions 524 to 776 of the family's 1533-position model. The record is from RNAcentral.